GAAAGAUGAAAAGAACUUUGAAAAGAGAGUUAAACAGUACGUGAAAUUGUUGAAAGGGAAACGAUUGAAGUCAGUCAUACCAACGGGAAAUCAACCUUUUGAGCUUGGUCUUGUGGGUUUUGAAGAGUUUCAAAGCCUUCAGAUUCGCGGGAUUGGGAUCUCUCGGUGUACUUUUUCGUACGGUUAGUCAACAUCGGUUUUGAAUGUCAUAAAAUGACUGGAGGAAUGUAGCUUCGAUCUCGUAUUGAAGUGUUAUA
Molecule: ribosomal RNA, 257 nt
Filed under: uncultured Funneliformis
Lineage: Eukaryota; Fungi; Glomeromycota; Glomeromycetes; Glomerales; Glomeraceae
Description: partial large subunit ribosomal RNA
Rfam family: Eukaryotic large subunit ribosomal RNA
Source: RNAcentral